CCUACGGGUGGCAGCAGUGAGGAAUAUUGGUCAAUGGCCGGAAGGCUGAACCAGCCAAGCCGCGUGAAGGACGAAGGUGCCAAGCACUGUAAACUUCUUUUGUCAAGGGACAAAUUCAGGCGCGAGAGUCUGCCCGAGGGUACUUGAAGCAAAAGCAUCGGCUAACUCCGUGCCAGCAGCCGCGGUAAUACGGAGGAUGCGAGCGUUAUCCGGAUUUAUUGGGUUUAAGGGGUGCGUAGGCGGACUGUUAAGUCAGCGGUAAAAGCCCGGGGCUCAACCCCGGCGAGCCGUUGAAACUGGCUGUCUUGAGAUGUGGAGAGGUAUGCGGAAUGCGCAGUGUAGCGGUGGAAUGCUUAGAUAUUGCGCAGAACUCCGAUUGCGAAGGCAGCAGACCGGCGGCGAUCUGACGCUGAGGCACGAAAGCGUGGGUAUCGAACAGGAUUAGAUACCCGAGUAGUC
This 459-nucleotide ribosomal RNA is filed under the name uncultured bacterium. RNAcentral describes it as "partial 16S ribosomal RNA". It matches the Rfam family "Bacterial small subunit ribosomal RNA", at positions 338 to 795 of the family's 1533-position model. The record is from RNAcentral.